UACGUAGGGUGCAGGCGUUAAUCGGAAUUACUGGGCGUAAAGCGUGCGUAGGCGGUUUGUUAAGACAGGUGUGAAAUCCCCGGGCUUAACCUGGGAACUGCGCUUGUUACUGGCAGACUUGAGUGUGGCAGAGGGGGGUGGAAUUCCACGUGUAGCAGUGAAAUGCGUAGAGAUGUGGAGGAACACCGAUGGCGAAGGCAGCCCCCUGGGUCAACACUGACGCUCAGGCACGAAAGCGUGGGGAGCAAACAGG
This 253-nucleotide ribosomal RNA is filed under the name uncultured bacterium. RNAcentral describes it as "partial 16S ribosomal RNA". It matches the Rfam family "Bacterial small subunit ribosomal RNA", at positions 524 to 776 of the family's 1533-position model. The record is from RNAcentral.